RNAcentral lists this ribosomal RNA (523 nucleotides) under Fusarium oxysporum. RNAcentral describes it as "eukaryotic LSU rRNA". The stretch from base 169 to 322 matches the Rfam family "5.8S ribosomal RNA". Lineage: Eukaryota; Fungi; Ascomycota; Sordariomycetes; Hypocreales; Nectriaceae. The record is from RNAcentral.
GACCUGCGGAGGGAUCAUUACCGAGUUUACAACUCCCAAACCCCUGUGAACAUACCACUUGUUGCCUCGGCGGAUCAGCCCGCUCCCGGUAAAACGGGACGGCCCGCCAGAGGACCCCUAAACUCUGUUUCUAUAUGUAACUUCUGAGUAAAACCAUAAAUAAAUCAAAACUUUCAACAACGGAUCUCUUGGUUCUGGCAUCGAUGAAGAACGCAGCAAAAUGCGAUAAGUAAUGUGAAUUGCAGAAUUCAGUGAAUCAUCGAAUCUUUGAACGCACAUUGCGCCCGCCAGUAUUCUGGCGGGCAUGCCUGUUCGAGCGUCAUUUCAACCCUCAAGCACAGCUUGGUGUUGGGACUCGCGUUAAUUCGCGUUCCCCAAAUUGAUUGGCGGUCACGUCGAGCUUCCAUAGCGUAGUAGUAAAACCCUCGUUACUGGUAAUCGUCGCGGCCACGCCGUUAAACCCCAACUUCUGAAUGUUGACCUCGGAUCAGGUAGGAAUACCCGCUGAACUUAAGCAUAUCAA